GAGAAGUUUACUCUAGACUGUCUGGCUGGGCCUAAUGUAAUCACAGGGAUCCUUUUUAGAGGGAGGCAGGAGGGACUGAGUAAGAAAAGAUAAUGUAGGCUGGGUGUGGUGGGUCACACCUGUAAUCCCAGAAUAUAUUGGGAGGUUGAGGAAGGAGGAUUGCUUGAGCACAGGAGUUUGAGACUAGCCUGGGCAACAUAGCAAGACUCCCUCUCUAUAAAAAGUUAAAAGAAUGAGUUGAAUGUGGUGGCACAUGCCUGUAAUCCCAGCUACUUGAGAAGCUAAGGCGGGAGAAUCAGUUGAGCUCAGGAGGUCAAGGCUGCAGUGAGCCAAGACCAUACCACUGCACUCCAGCCUGGGCAACAAGAGUGAAGCUUCAUUUCAAACAAACAAACAAACAAUCAAACAAGUAAACAAACAGACCCCAAACUAUUAUUUUACUUCUGGGGCCCAGAAUUCCAAAAUCAGCUUCACUGGGAUAAAGUCAAGGUGUCAGCAGGGCUGGUACCUCCUGGAGCCUUGAUAAGAGGAUCCAUUUCCUCGCCUUUUCAGCUUCUGGUCGCCCCUUUAUUCCUUUGUGCGAAGCCCCUUCAUCCAUCUUCAAAGCACAUCACUCCAGUCUCUGCUUCCAUCCUCACAUUGUCUCUCUCUGGCUCUUCCUGCACUCCUCUUUUUUUAAAAUUAAUAUUGCCACAUUAUUUUAAAUUAUGUACAAAGACCUAACAUGUCACUCAGGGACCAUUUCACCCACUGCUCUAUUUAGCCGCCAGUCUCUUCAGCAAUGGUGAGGGUUUGGUGUACACAUUAUUUCAUCACCCAGGUAAUAAGCAUAGCACCCGACAGGUAGUUUUUCGGUCCUCACCCUCCUCCCAUCUUACCCUCAAGUAGGCCCUGCUGUUUGUUGUUCCCUUUUUUGUGUCAAUGUGUAGUCAAUGUUCAGCUCCCACCUAUAAGUGAGAACCUGUGGUGUCUGGUUUUCUGUCCCUGCAUUAGUUCACUUAGGAUAGUGGCUUCCAGCUCCAUCUAUGUUGCUGCAAAAGACAUUAUCUUGUUCCUUUUUAUGGCUGUGUAGUAUUCCAUGGUGUAUAUAUACCACAUUUUCUGUCUUUCUCCUUCCUUCCUUCCUUCCUUCAUUCCUUCUCUCUCUCUCUCUUUCUUUCUUUCAGACAGAGUCUUGCUCUGUUGCCCAGGCUGGAAUGCAGUGGUGUGAUCUCAUCUCACUGCAACUUCUGCCUCCUGGGUUCAAGUGACUUCUCCUGCCUGAGCCUCCCAAGUAGCUGGGAAUACAGGUGCCCGCUACUAUGCCUGGCUAAUUUUUUUGUAUUUUUAGUAGAGACGGGGUUUCACCAUGUUGGACAGGCUUGGUCUCGAACUACCGACCUCACGUAAUCCACCCACCUUGGCCUCCCAAAGUGCUGGGAUUACAGGCGUGAGUCACCACGCCCAGCCCACAUUUUCUUUAUCCAGUCUACCACUGAUGGGCAUUUAGGUUGAUUCCACAUCUUUGCUAUUGUGAACAGUGCUGCUGUGAACAAAGGUGUGCACGUGUCUUCAUGGUAGAACGAUUGAUAUUCCUUUGUGUAUAUACUCAAUAAUGAGAUUGCUGGGUCGGAUGGUAGUUCUAUUUUAAGUUUUUUUAGAAAUCACCAAACUACUUUUCACAGUGGCUCUUGGCUUAAAUUUGGAAGCAGAGGUACACUCCCUUUACACCUGAUUUUUAAAUUUCUUUUCUCCUUGAUCAGAUAAUAUGUUGACACUAUCCAAAAUUCAAAAGAUACAAAAUGAUGGAAAGUGAAAUUUCUUCAACCCAGUUUCCCUUGCCAAGUUGAUACUAAUGUUACCAGUUUCCAGGUUAUUCCAUACACAAAUAUACAAAUAGUAACUUACUAUAUCCACUGUAUCUGUCAGGUUGGGUUGGAAUUUUUUUUCUUUUUCUUUUAAGACCGUCUCACUCUGUCUUUCAGGCUGCAGUGCAGUAGGGCAAUCUUGGCUCACUGCGACCUCUGCCUCCCGGGCUCAAGUGAUUCUUGGGCCUCAGCCUCCUGAGUAGCUGAGAUUACAGGUGUGUGCCACCACACCUGGCUAUUUUUUGUAUUUUUAGUAGAGACAGGGUCUUGCCAUGUUGGCCAAGCUGGUCUUGAAUUCCUGGUCUCAUGAUCUGCCCACCUCAGCCUCCCAAAGUGUUGGGAUUAGAGGUGUGAGCUCCUGGCCAUUGUGCUGGGUAUUCUAUUUGCCCUACCAUCUCCACUCUCCACCAUGACCUGUCUUUUAGAAGGGUGGCCUCUAUAAACUGUACCACCCAUGCUCCCUUCACCUCUACAUUAAAAAAAUUUUUGGGUUUGGCCAAUGGAAGUUUGAGAGAAGAGCAAUGUCAGAUUAUUUUGCUUGGCUGUGUGAUAGCAAUGGUUGUAUUCCUCUGCCAGAAACCAUGCCCUCCUGCUGGGGGCUCUCUUUUACCCCUAUACAAUCAGUCUCGGUUUCGGAAACUACUCCCUCUCACUGCACCUUUCAACCUAAGGAUGAUGAUGGCGUCUCCUUUGUAAGCCAUAGAGUGCUUCAACA
RNAcentral lists this long non-coding RNA (2562 nucleotides) under Homo sapiens (human). RNAcentral's name for it is "HSALNT0259946". The record is from RNAcentral. Lineage: Eukaryota; Metazoa; Chordata; Mammalia; Primates; Hominidae.